AUGAACGCUGGCGGCGUGCCUAAUACAUGCAAGUCGAGCGAACAGACGAGGAGCUUGCUCCUCUGACGUUAGCGGCGGACGGGUGAGUAACACGUGGAUAACCUACCUAUAAGACUGGGAUAACUUCGGGAAACCGGAGCUAAUACCGGAUAAUAUAUUGAACCGCAUGGUUCAAUAGUGAAAGACGGUUUUGCUGUCACUUAUAGAUGGAUCCGCGCCGCAUCAGCUAGUUGGUAAGGUAACGGCUUACCAAGGCAACGAUGCGUAGCCGACCUGAGAGGGUGAUCGGCCACACUGGAACUGAGACACGGUCCAGACUCCUACGGGAGGCAGCAGUAGGGAAUCUUCCGCAAUGGGCGAAAGCCUGACGGAGCAACGCCGCGUGAGUGAUGAAGGUCUUCGGAUCGUAAAACUCUGUUAUUAGGGAAGAACAAAUGUGUAAGUAACUAUGCACGUCUUGACGGUACCUAAUCAGAAAGCCACGGCUAACUACGUG
Molecule: ribosomal RNA, 496 nt
Filed under: uncultured bacterium
Lineage: Bacteria
Description: partial 16S ribosomal RNA
Rfam family: Bacterial small subunit ribosomal RNA
Source: RNAcentral